UUCUACGGCCAUACCACCCUGAAUGUGCCCAAUCUCAGCUGAUCUCAGAAGCUAAGCAGGGUUGGCCCUGGUUAGUACUUGGAUGGAAGAAAGAGGACUGGCAUGUGUGCUGA
This is a ribosomal RNA of Fukomys damarensis (Damara mole-rat), 113 nucleotides long. Lineage: Eukaryota; Metazoa; Chordata; Mammalia; Rodentia; Bathyergidae. The record is from Ensembl.